UGGGGAAUAUUGCACAAUGGAGGGAACUCUGAUGCAGCGACGCCGCGUGAACGAAGAAGGCUUUCGAGUCGUAAAGUUCUUUUAUAUGGGAAGAUAAUGACGGUACCAUAAGAAAAAGCCCCGGCUAACUACGUGCCAGCAGCCGCGGUAAUACGUAGGGGGCUAGCGUUGUCCGGAAUCACUGGGCGUAAAGGGUUCGCAGGCGGAAAUGCAAGUCAGGUGUAAAAGGCAGUAGCUUAACUACUGUAAGCAUUUGAAACUGCAUAUCUUGAGAAGAGUAGAGGUAAGUGGAAUUUUUAGUGUAGCGGUGAAAUGCGUAGAUAUUAAAAGGAAUACCGGUGGCGAAGGCGGCUUACUGGGCUCAUUCUGACGCUGAGGAACGAAAGCGUGGGUAGCAAACAGG
RNAcentral lists this ribosomal RNA (403 nucleotides) under bacterium. RNAcentral's name for it is "partial 16S ribosomal RNA". It matches the Rfam family "Bacterial small subunit ribosomal RNA", at positions 355 to 776 of the family's 1533-position model. The record is from RNAcentral.